GGAAGCCGCCGACAGGAGGAAGAGGAGACAAACUUGAGAAAGAAAGGGCUAAGGGGCAGGGGUCUUUCACUGCAAGGGUGCUUUCUAUCUCAUCUCAGCUUCAUUCAGGUCAGCCUUGCUAGAUCUCUGACUGUUACUAGCCCAAUUGUGAAGCAAGCUGUCCAAGAGGUAAGGAGUUCACUGAGGGCAUUCAGCUUACUAUCAAGAGUCAUCUCAGUUUACUAUCGAGAGUCAUCCGUUUGUCAGGGUGUCUGGUGGUGUCCAUGGUGGAGGAGAUCUCUUCACAGAUAACUGAUGGUCUCAAGGACCCCAAGGAUUCCCACCUAUAGUUCUGCCCAUGCAGGGGUAUAUUUCAUUUUCUCUGUUGUUUAGGAGAACAUUCCCUUUUCAUGCCUGAUGGACAACUUGAUGUUGAGAUCUGCGGCUGUGGUAUACCCACUGAGUUCCUGUAUCGUUUUCUUUGACUUCCAGGGCCCUUCUGGAUCCUAGGAGUCCACUGUACCAUCUGGCUUGAUAGGUCCCAGGUCAGAAACUCUGCUUCAAUAGCUUGUCCAUUCCUUGUUGGAGAGAUUAAAGGACUUCACCUGUACCUUUUCCAAUACAGACUGACAAAUAUUCCUAGGAACGUAGCAUAUGGAAAUUUUGGAUGCGAAGAGAAUGGUCGUUGCUGAGAAAAUAGUCUGAUCUGCUCCAGAAGGCUGCAUGCCAUGACUGGGAGGGGUGAUCUGCAAGAUGGCAUCUUCACAGGACUUCAGGCCCAGGGACUGACAUCAGGGGAUACCCAGGACAACCUCCCAGAGCCAGAACCAAGAUAGAGGUCCUCGCUUUCCUGACUUCUGGGCAUGCCAGGCUGCGUGGAUGGAGUGCUUCUCUUACCUCUUCUGGUCCUGGAGUAUCUCUGGCUGACUUCAAACUUGCUAUGUAACUGAGGAUUAACUGGAACUUCUGACCUUCCCAGUUCUACCUUCCAGUUCUGGAAUUGCUGGCACAUGCCCCCAUCCUGGGUUUGUGCAAUGCUGGGGACCAGCCCAGGACAUGCUAGGCAAGCACUUACCAACCGAGUUACAGACUUAGCCCCAGACCUUUCAGUUUUGAUGAGACCCCCGUUAACUUUUUCUUUCAUUGCCUGUGUAAAGCAUAAUGCCUUUUGAGUGUCCAGUAAGGUAUUGACCCUUUCAGAGUGUGAGUGGCGGGGGUCAGUGACCAAGGUGCCUCUUCUUUUCCCACUGUAAUAACUAGACAUGGAUAUGAGGAGUUCUGAUGACUGUGGGGGAGGACAUCUGACCUUCUGGUCUUAAGGAGGCUGUUUAAAUCCCAACAGAAGACAGACAUCCCAUGCUCACAUCAAUGACUUGCUUAUACCCCUGGACUGACCAUGAUGCAUGUACUCAACAAUAACAAGGAUGGGAAGGAAAUAUGGAAGUAUGGAUUCAGUUUUGUGAUGGGGAGGCAACUCUGACAUGAUGGCUAAUGGACAGUUUCAAGGCUCAGCUCAUGCUGUGGACGUACCUGUGUGCAUGUCCACACACGCUUACAGGUGUGUGUGCUGUUGUGUGAGAGUGUACACAGAGGCCAGAAACCAACAACUGGUGUCUUCCUUGGUUGUUUUCCACUGUAUAUUUUGAAACAGGGGUUCCCCCUGGAUCUAGGGCUUGACAUUUAGGUCAGACUUGCUGGCCAAUGAGCUCCAGGGAGCUUCCUGCAUUGUCUGAUGCUCUGAACAGAGUUGGCUAUUGUGAGACUUUAGUCUGUCGCAACCACUGGUUCCAUUCUCCCAGGUCUCAGUGCUCUAGAGAGAUGACACCACCACACUCAGAUUUUCCAAGAGUGCUGGGGAUCCAAAUCCAGGCCCUCAUGCUUGUGUGACAGGCACUUCAUUGACCGAGUGAUCUCCGCCCUUGAUUGCAGGACCCCAGUGAGGAAGAUUACUCGAUGCUUUCUGCCUUGGUUUUCUCAGAGACAAUGUGGAAGUUGGGUUGUUGAAGCAUUUUGUGACUUAAUGCACAUAAAGUUCUUGAAAUAGUGCUUGGCAUAUUGCAAGCUUCUGACAAAUGUUCUCAGCGGAUUAAUGAAUUCCAAUAUGCAAAGCAUGUACCUGCUGCAGCCAGCAUUAUUCCCAGCUCACGACAUUCAAAUGCAAGCUCCUAAAAGAAUUUUACAGAAACCAAGUACAGACCAAACAACAUAUUUCCAUGGGCCAGACUCAGCUCUGGGACUGCCAGUUUGUGAUUGAACAGAAACCACAGAACUUUGUCAAGCCUCCCAGACAGAGCUUCCUGCAGCUUUAAUUGGGACCUUGGAUUUCUGGUUUGGCUCCUCACACGGCUGAACUCACUCACUUAUUGGGGUGGGACGGCUGUGGAAUCACAAUGAUGAAGCACUGGGCACACUUGGAUAGGAGAAGAGUGGUAACUUCACAAAUUCUCUUCUUUUGCUAUUGAUGGUGGCUCAAGAUGUAUAGCACUUAUGUUUCCUGAAGCAAAUGUAGCUCUGAUUUGUUUUGCAUAUCUGAUGCAGCCCUUUCGUGCAUUAAUACAUCUCAUAUUUGAUCAUUAUGGGGAGAGAAAAAUGAGAAGGACUUUAGAGCUUUUUUUAUUCUGACUAUAAAAAUGAAAAAUACCUAUCACAAACAAUUCAGGAAAAGUAUGGAAGUGAAAAAAAUGAAAGAAAAAAUGUCUCUGAAUCUGUCAGCCAGAGAUAAAUAUGGCUCCCAUUCUGAUGAAUAGCCUCCUGGUUAUUUAUUUGUCCAUAUACCAGCAUCUAUCUGAAAAAGCAAGAAUGAACACCGCAUCUUCUCCAGAGCCUUUUGGAGGCCUUUGAAAUGCUACCAUGGCCCCAUGAGCAUUUCAUAAAAUUUUUUUUUAGCAUAUAGUAACCAUACAUAAAAUGAGUUUUGGGCUGGAGAGAUGGCCCAGUGGUUAACAGCACUGACUGCUCUUCCAGAGAACCUGGGUUCAAUUGCCAGCACCCAUAUGGCAGCCCACAACUGUCUGUAACUCCAGUUCCAGAGGAUCCGGCACCCUCACACAGACAUACAUGCAGGCAAAAUAACACCAAUGCACAUGAAAGAAAUAAAUCUUAAAAAUUAAAACAAAAGUUUAAGGAAAAAAAUGAGUUUCAUUUGACCCGUGCAUACACAUACACAAUGUAUUUUGAUCAUAUUACUGGUCCCCCUCACACUCUACUGAUCUCCUUUUCUCAACUACCCUCCCUUCUAUUUUCACGUCCUUGGAUUUUUUUUUUUCAACACACUCUUAUUUUAGAGUUUGGGGGUGUGUGCACCAUGGAGCACUCGUGGAGGUCAGAGAACAACUUACUGGAGUCAGUUUUCUCUUCGACCACAUGGGUUUCUAGGGCAGAACUUAAAUCAGUGCUUUUACCCACUGAGCCAUCUUGCUCCCUCUCCCUCUUUAAUGACACGAUGAAUUUCUUCAUGGCUGUUUACAGGAACAUGACUCCUUAGCAGUAGUUACACCACUCAAGAAAAAUCUCACCCCCUUCUUCAUCAAACAUGAACUUCUAAUAAAUCCUCAGGGAAGAAUGGGAUCCUGUCAGUCCCUUCAAUGACCAUCGCCCCUCCCGUCCUCUGUUCCCUCCCUCCCCCUCUCCCCUCCCUACUUCCCUUCUUUUUCUUUUCUUUUUUUUUCUUUUCAAGACAGGGUUUCUCUGUAGCUCUUUGGUUGUCCUGGAAUUCUCUUUGUAGACCAGGCAGGCCCUAAACUCACAAAGAUCCGCCUGCUUUUGCCUCCCGAGUGCUGGGAUUAAAGGUGUGCGCCACCAUGCCCGGCUCAGCAUUUUCUAGAUUGAUUUAUUGAAGUGAUGAAAAGACCAUUUGCCCCCCUCCUCACUAUUUAUAUGUCUCUGUAUAGACUGCUGCCAGGUUUAUUACCAAUUUAUUUUAAAAAUUCCCUAACUUCUGUCUUUUUUUCUUAUUUUGUCUCGUCUUUUUUUUUAAAUUAAAAGUUUCACUACUAUUAUUUUACUUUAUGAGAAUGACUACGGGUAUUUUGCCUACAUAUAUGUCUGAGCACUGCAGCCCUUGGAGGCCAGAAGUAUGCAACUGGGGUUUCAGACAGUUGUGAGCAGCUAUGUAGAUGCUGGGGAUUGAAUCCAGGUCCUCUAGAAGAGCAGCCAGUGCUUUUAACCUCUGGGCCAUCUCUGCAGCUUCCUUCUUAUUUCCAUUAGGUCUUAGUUGUUCUUUUUCUAAGUUUUUUAUUAAACGUUUAGUCAUAUGUUGAAACAACCUAAAUGGAAUCCCGCUUUCUGACCCUG
This 4272-nucleotide long non-coding RNA is filed under the name Cricetulus griseus (Chinese hamster). Its description in RNAcentral is "lncRNA (ENSCGRG00015038322.1)". The record is from RNAcentral. Lineage: Eukaryota; Metazoa; Chordata; Mammalia; Rodentia; Cricetidae.